GAUGAACGCUAGCGAUAGGCUUAACACAUGCAAGUCGAGGGGCAGCAUGGUCUUAGCUUGCUAAGACUGAUGGCGACCGGCGCACGGGUGCGUAACGCGUAUGCAACUUGCCUCACAGAGGGGGAUAACCCGUCGAAAGACGGACUAAUACCGCGUACACUUGGGAUAGGGCAUCCUGACCCAAGGAAAUGAAAUUCGCUGUGAGAUAGGCAUGCGUCCCAUUAGCUAGUUGGUGAGGUAACGGCUCACCAAGGCGACGAUGGGUAGGGGAACUGAGAGGUUGAACCCCCACACUGGUACUGAGACACGGACCAGACUCCUACGGGAGGAAGCAGUGAGGAAUAUUGGUCAAUGGGCGAGAGCCUGAACCAGCCAAGUCGCGUGAAGGAUGACUGUCUUAUGGAUUGUAAACUUCUUUUAUACGGGAAUAACAAGAGUCACGUGUGGCUCCCUGCAUGUACCGUAUGAAUAAGCAUCGGCUAACUCCGUG
RNAcentral lists this ribosomal RNA (490 nucleotides) under uncultured bacterium. RNAcentral's name for it is "partial 16S ribosomal RNA". It matches the Rfam family "Bacterial small subunit ribosomal RNA", at positions 28 to 507 of the family's 1533-position model. The record is from RNAcentral.